AUUGAACGCUGGCGGCAUGCCUUACACAUGCAAGUCGAACGGCAGCACGGGUGCUUGCACCUGGUGGCGAGUGGCGAACGGGUGAGUAAUACAUCGGAACGUACCUUAUCGUGGGGGAUAACGCAGCGAAAGCUGUGCUAAUACCGCAUACGCCCUGAGGGGGAAAGCGGGGGAUCGCAAGACCUCGCGCGAUUAGAGCGGCCGAUGCCUGAUUAGCUUGUUGGUGGGGUAAAAGCCCACCAAGGCGACGAUCAGUAGCUGGUCGGAGAGGACGAUCAGCCCCACUGGGACUGAGAAACGGCCCAGACUCCUACGGGAGGCAGCAGUGGGGAAUUUUGGACAAUGGGGGCCACCCUGAUCCAGCAAUGCCGCGUGAGUGAAGAAGGCCUUCGGGUUGUAAAGCUCUUUUGUCAGGGAAGAAACACCGGCUCUAACACAGUCUGGGAAUGACGGUACCUGAAGAAUAAGCACCGGCUAACUACGUGCCAGCCGCCGCCGUAA
RNAcentral lists this ribosomal RNA (501 nucleotides) under uncultured bacterium. RNAcentral's name for it is "partial 16S ribosomal RNA". It matches the Rfam family "Bacterial small subunit ribosomal RNA", at positions 29 to 523 of the family's 1533-position model. The record is from RNAcentral.